ACUUGGAGGUUGUGCCCUUGAGGCGUGGCUUCCGGAGCUAACGCGUUAAGUCGACCGCCUGGGGAGUACGGCCGCAAGGUUAAAACUCAAAUGAAUUGACGGGGGCCCGCACAAGCGGUGGAGCAUGUGGUUUAAUUCGAUGCAACGCGAAGAACCUUACCUACUCUUGACAUCCAGAGAACUUAGCAGAGAUGCUUUGGUGCCUUCGGGAACUCUGAGACAGGUGCUGCAUGGCUGUCGUCAGCUCGUGUUGUGAAAUGUUGGGUUAAGUCCCGCAACGAGCGCAACCCUUAUCCUUUGUUGCCAGCGAUUCGGUCGGGAACUCAAAGGAGACUGCCAGUGAUAAACUGGAGGAAGGUGGGGAUGACGUCAAGUCAUCAUGGCCCUUACGAGUAGGGCUACACACGUGCUACAAUGGCAUAUACAAAGAGAAGCGACCUCGCGAGAGCAAGCGGACCUCAUAAAGUAUGUCGUAGUCCGGAUUGGAGUCUGCAACUCGACUCCAUGAAGUCGGAAUCGCUAGUAAUCGUGGAUCAGAAUGCCACGGUGAAUACGUUCCCGGGCCUUGUACACACCGCCCGUCACACCAUGGGAGUGGGUUGCAAAAGAAGUAGGUAGCUUAACCUUCGGGAGGGCGCUUACCACUUUGUGAUUCAUGACUGGGGUGAAGUCGUAACAAGGUAACCGUAGGGGAACCUGC
RNAcentral lists this ribosomal RNA (700 nucleotides) under uncultured bacterium. RNAcentral describes it as "bacterial SSU rRNA". It matches the Rfam family "Bacterial small subunit ribosomal RNA", at positions 815 to 1515 of the family's 1533-position model. The record is from RNAcentral.